GACCGUUGUCGGGUCCCUCUCCUCCUCCCUGGGGCCUUGCACAGGCGGCGGCGCCCCUCCUCCUCCCAGGCGCCGCCGCGUCCAUUCAGUUUCGAAGCCCCUUCUCCUCCUCCCUGGGGUUUCGUUUA
This 128-nucleotide small RNA is filed under the name Antarctobacter aquimaris. RNAcentral's name for it is "Maliponia aquimaris Alphaproteobacterial ar14". It matches the Rfam family "Alphaproteobacterial ar14". Rfam says of the family: Smr14C2 was renamed NfeR1 (Nodule Formation Efficiency RNA) highly expressed in salt stress and during the symbiotic interaction on legume roots. Lineage: Bacteria; Pseudomonadati; Pseudomonadota; Alphaproteobacteria; Rhodobacterales; Roseobacteraceae. The record is from Rfam by way of RNAcentral.